Malus domestica (apple) is the source of this 1021-nucleotide long non-coding RNA. RefSeq lists it as uncharacterized. NCBI's taxonomy places the organism in Eukaryota, Viridiplantae, Streptophyta, Magnoliopsida, Rosales, Rosaceae. The record is from RefSeq and is a predicted model, not a curated record.
CGAGAAUUUCAUUUCGUGUGCACGAAAACUGACUCCGUCCGCCGGGCGGCUAGAUAUUUUCUUUGUAAUAUUCAGAAAAGGGUCUGAAGUUAACUUGAAUUACGGCUCUCUGCCAUUGGGCUUUGUCUGAAGGUCCAGAUCAGGGUUUGGACUGGUGAAUUGCUCAGUUUGUGGACAUGGCAAGGGCCUCGAAAGGCCAAAUAUAGUCGAAGCAUCGACAGGGAUCAAAUCUUUUACAUUUUGAUAAGCAUGCUGCUUCACAGUUUCCACCAGCAUCUGCAAACAUAACCAGGGAGCUCAUCAGUUUCUUUACCCCCAAGGAAUAUUUUAAAGUUUGCUCCAUCAAUCAUGCAACAGUUCUUUGUCUUCGGAACCAAGUUAUAGCAACCGAAAAAUGAAGGCAGAUCAAGAAUACGCGUGGGAGAUUAGAAAAUGCAAAGGAGUUUGAAAAUGCAUAAUACGCGUACCAUCUGAUGCACGUGGAGUUCAUGCAGAAAACAGAACUGGCCAUUGAUUAUUGCCGCUACAAGCCUGUGGAUGGAAUUGAAAAUGAGACUUACAUCCCCCUCAGCUCCAUGGAAGGCAUAGAACCUAUGGUCAUCCAACUUACAGGUCAUAGCAUGCUCUAUGAUUGUUUCCCAUAACUUGUUCGAGAUCACACCGAAAGCCUACAUUUUCGCAGCAGAAAAUUAGAUAGAUAUAGAUUAAACGACGGGCAUAAACUACCGUAGGCACACUGCGUAGCAGAACAAAUGAUUCUCUUACAUUUCGUAGCAAGGAUGCAUCUCUCAUGUACAACUGCAGGAAGUCCUCGACUGUGCUGAUUCCAUUCUCGCAGAGUCUCUUAUGGAAGGCUCCGUCUUUUGCUAUCUUUUGCAGGCACCAUAUUUCAUCGUUUAGGUGUAGAUAGUGCUUCUUAUAAACUGAAUCAACAUUUUCUAGGUCAGUUUCGUUUAGUUCAAUGCCAAAAUUGUCUAUAUUUUAGUAAAGAUCAAAGAGUAGUGAGUUAAGUUUUUGUGAA